Molecule: unclassified non-coding RNA, 379 nt
Filed under: Hevea brasiliensis (rubber tree)
Lineage: Eukaryota; Viridiplantae; Streptophyta; Magnoliopsida; Malpighiales; Euphorbiaceae
Source: RNAcentral
GAAGAGUCAGAUUCUACGAUUAUUUGUGCAUCAAACAUAUAUGAUUUACAACAUUAUAGCUCACACUUUCAUUCUAUUUUAUUUUAUUCAAACUGAACAUACAAAACCAUCUAAGUAUUCUUUGUUCAUGCCCAAACAUAAAACACAACAACCAUUGCAUUUAUAAUUGGAUGCCACAAAUUUCCCCUUCCACUUCCUGUUAAUAAUGGUGAAACUGCAGUCACCUUUAAAAAGACAUUGAAUUUCAUGCAGCUCCUGCAAAAUGGAAAUGUGUAUCAUCAGUGAUAAAUAAUGAACUUUCAUAAACAUUUCCCAGAACAUGCAUUAAAUUUAAAAUUAAGGUUGAAUUAAUUACUUCGACACAAAGAUGGCCCCAUUG